This 7606-nucleotide long non-coding RNA is filed under the name Malus domestica (apple). Its description in RNAcentral is "long non-coding RNA (MDOM_LNC011526)". Lineage: Eukaryota; Viridiplantae; Streptophyta; Magnoliopsida; Rosales; Rosaceae. The record is from RNAcentral.
AAACCUUCGAAAAUCACGUCGGGAAACUUCACCAAAACCGGCCACCUUCGAACUAGGGUGUCCCGACGUCCAAAACUUAUAAACGAACGUCCCCGAGCUUCGUGGGAACUUCCUAAAGCUCACUAUGAGCUUGGAUUGUCCAGAAAAUGGUACCUUUGAGUUCGUAGGGCACUCACGAACACAUUGGUGCUAAUCUCCACUUCGAUCCAUGAAGUUUUGAUGGUCCUUGGGUGUGGUCCAUACAAUUUCGAAGGAAGAGAGAAAGAGUGGCAAAGAAUGAGGAGAGAGAGAGGGCACGGAGAAAGAGAAAGUGUCCCUUGUGUGUGGUCCAUCCCAAAACAAUCACCAUUAAUUUUUCUUAAGUCCCUAACCACACAAAACACAUACAACCUUUAAUCAAAAUUCAAACUUUCCAAAACUUAGGGAAAUAUGCAUUGUUCAAUAAUAUGUCACACACCUACCUUAGCACCAGUCAAGGAUAAUUUCGUCAUUUCACAACCUCGAUAAAAAGAAUCACGGGACGGGCUGUGACAAUCUUCCCCCUUAUAGAAUUUCAUCCUCAAAAUUCAUGCAACCAAACAAGCCAUUAAUAUUCAUAAAACAACCUCGGAUACAUCUCUCUCAUUCGAUCUUUUGUCUCCCAAGUAGCUUCUUCUACUGAGUGGUUCCGCCACAAUACUUUUACCAAGCUCACAGUUUUAUUCCUUAGAACUUUGUCUUUCCAAUGCAAGAUAGUCACUGGUUCCUCAUCAUACGUCAAAUCCGGAUUAAUCACCAAAGGUUGAGGAGGAAUCACAUGUGAAGGAUCUGAAAUAUAAUGUUGAAGCAUCGAGACAUGAAACACAUUAUGUACUUUAGAUAACUCCGGAGGCAACUUCAAUCUGUAAGCAACUUUACCAAUCCUCUCAGUGAUCUCAUAUGGUCCUAUGUACCUAGGACUUAGCUUGCCUUUCUUUCCAAACCGCAUUACACCUCUCCAAGGUGACAAUUUCAAGAAUACCAAAUUACCCACAUCAUAUACUCGAUCAAUAGCAUGUCUAUCUACUAAACUCUUUUGUCGAUCCUGGGCCGUUUUCAGGUUAGACUUAAUCACCUGAACAUUUUGAGUAGUCUCAUCCACAAUCUCUGGGCCUUCUAACACUCUUUCGCCAACCUUUGACCAACACAAUGGCGUACGACAAGCUCUACCAUAAAGUGCCUCAAAUGGUGAUAUACCAAUGCUCGAAUGAAAACUAUUAUUGUAGGCAAAUUCCAUCAAGUCUAGGCGAUCAUGCCAAGAAUCACCAAACUGUAACACUGAAGAUCUCAACAUAUCCUCCAACGUCUGAAUAGUCCUCUCUAAUUGUCCAUCGGUUUGAGGAUGAUAAGCCGUGCUGUAAAGUAGUUUCGUACCAAGAGCUUCUUGAAAAGCUACCCAAAACUUAGAAGUAAAUCUUGGAUCUCGAUCAGAGAUAAUAUUCACUGGAACUCUAUGAUACUUCACAAUCUUCGUAAUGAACAACUUAGCCAAUUUAUUCAGGGGAUACUUUUCCCUCACGGGAAUGAAGUAUGCUGACUUGGUAAGCCGAUCUACAAUCACCCAAACACCAUCAAAUCCAUUUCGUGUACGAGGAAGCCUAUACACAAAAUCCAUAGUUAUAUUUUCCCAUUUCCACUGAGGAACGGGAAGUGGUUGCAUCUGCCCAAAAGGCUUCUUUCUUUCUGCUUUGACUUGCUGGCAAACAAUACACCUACUUACAUAUUCUGCAAUUUUCCUUUUCAUACCCGGCCAAUAAUAAAAUGGUCGAAUGGUAUGGUACAUCUUAGUUCCUCCUGGAUGCAUCGCAUAAGCCGAACAAUAUGUUUCAUCCAAAAUUUCUUUCUUUAGUUCCUCAUUAUUCGGCACAUACAUUCUGUUCUCCUGCAUAAGCAUGCCAUCUGAUUCUCGAAUCCUGAGGUCUUUCUUUUUCCCUUCACUUCUUAAUUGAAUCAUUUCUUGAAUUUCUUCAUCAACCAUCUGAACUUCAAGUACACGAUCAACCAAAACUGGCCUGACUUGGAAACUAGCAAGAAAAGCUUCUCUUUGUUCUUCUAACUCUAACUUUACUCCAGUAGCUCUCAAAUCUGCAAGAAGAGGAACACGACAAGCAUACAACGUAUUGAGUCGACCUUGAGGUUUCCUACUCAGUGCAUCAGCUACCACAUUUGCACGACCCGGAUGAUACUCAAUAGUGCAGUCAUAAUCACUUAGUAACUCCAUCCACCUUCGUUAACGAAGAUUAAGAUCAUGCUGAGUGAAAAGAUAUUGAAGACUCUUAUGGGCACGAUGAAAAGUAACUGACUUCCCAUAAAAAUCUAUAUGGGCACGAUUAUAAUGCAACCAAUCUGCCCCUAAAAUCACAUCAAAAUCCAUGAUAUCUAACGGGAUAAGAUUAGCUGGCAUAACUACACCAUCUACCAUCACUGGACAUCUUGGAUAAACACUAUCAACAUAACAUUUGUCCCCUCUAGGCAUAGCAAACUCUAAAUCAAAUCCUAGAGGUGUAGGGUGAGGUUGAGUCAUUUGAGCAAAUGUAUGAGAAAUCACAGAAUGUGCAGCACCACAAUCAAUCAAAACUCUAGCAAAAUGACCAAGAAUAUUUAACGUACCCAUAAUCAAAUCUGGAUGGUUCUGAGCAUCUUGCAGUGAUAUGUGAUUAACACGUCCAUGAGCUUGCUGUCGUCCACCACGACCUCUGUUGCCUUGGUUACCUCGCCCCUGAGAAGUACGUCCCUGUCCUGACUGAUUAGACUGCCUAGAUGGUCCUCCACCGCUAGCAGCAACCUCUCCCUGUCGGGGCUGACCUCUCUGAUGCCACUGAGAUCCGCUAGCUGGCAUGGAAGGAUAAGAAGUAUAACCUCCAAGGUCUUGGGAAUACCCAGUCUGAGAAUAAGGAUCCUAGGAAUAGUGAUAUUGUCCGGAAGUAUAGGGAGCAGCAUCACCCUGAUAGUGGUAAGCAUCAUCACGACCCGUCUGACCAUAACUGCCUGAUCCAAAAUUCUGCUGAAUCGGCGCUGGAGGUAGCAUAGCACACUGCUGAGAUCUCUGCUGACUCUGGGGACAUUGAGCAUCCCUAUGUCCCAUCUGUCCACAAGUGUAGCAAGCACCACCACUUCUCCUACACUCUCCAUGAUGUCUGAAAUUACAACGGAGCACCAGAACCACCAGCACCAUCAAAAUCUCUCUGUCUCUAAAACCUGGGUCCACCAGCAAAUCUUCCACCUCUUCUCAGGCCUGUGACACUAAAUCCUCCACUGGAAGAACUCGAGCUCGCUGCACUUUUCUUGAAAUUAUGUGUCUUACGGGGUCCCUGAGUGGAGAUACCUUUACCCCUAUCAUAUUUCUUCUGAUUAUCAUUUUUAUCUUCAUCAUCCUCACUAUUACUAAGAAGGUUGUCAGAAUCCUCCAUCCAAACCAAAAUCUCAGAAAACUCAUGAUAAGUGGUGCAAGGAAGCGCACUAGCAAAAGUCCGCCAUUUCCUCUUAGUUCCCAGCUUAAAACGGCGAAGCAUCUCUGCCUGAUUACCAGCUGUAUCAGGGUCAUAACGAGACAAGUCUGUAAACUUCCUGUAAUACUCAUGCGUCGACAUAUUCUUUUGCUUCAAUUGAGUGAACUCAUGCUUCUUACGAUCAAUGUACUCCGGAGGGACAAAUCUUUUCUUAAAAUUCUUUUUGAAUACUUCCCAAUCAGCUGCCAUCUCAGGAAACAUAAACUGAGUCUGAUUUACCCACCAAGCUGCUGGCUCUCACCCCAAAAACCAAGUAGUGGUCUCAACCCAUCUAUUAGCAGGAAGAUUCCCUUGACCCUGCAUCACCUGAAAAGUCUUCUCAAUAUGGUCUAGCCACUUUUCUGCCCCUUCAUGACCUUCAUUACCCAUGAAACAGUCCAAUUUCAGAUUAUACAUAGUCUCCAGGGGUGUCCUCUGAGGAAGAGGGGGACAGAUUGCAUUCUGAAAAGCAUGGGCCGUCGCUUCCCCUAAUUGAGUUAUAUCAGGGAAAUUAGGCUCAGAAGCAUGACGUGAUUCCCUACGAGGCGGCAUAGUUCUGACAGAAGACAUCAAAAGAUCAUUAGAGCAUUAACAAUUUAUACAGGACUGCAACCUAGGCUCUGAUAGCAAACUGACACACCCCGAUCCUAGAAUUAAGGCGUGCUGGCCGUCACGUGGGCAUGACGUAACCAAAAGUGCGACGCGGAAGCAAUAGAUAAGAGAAAUACGAAUAAACAAAAACCAAAUACUAGCAAUAAUAACCAAGUAACGUGCUAGAGUAAGUUCAAGUGUGAAACACACAAAUUCAGAGCAUAAGUACUAGGUGCAGUCAAGUAGGACCAUAACUAAAUUACAAUACCCGCAGGUGAGUCAUACAUUUAUGUAGUCUGUCAGUACGCCGUGGGAAUCCUCGUCGGCCAGCAACGCUGCUAACUAGAACCUGGAGGGGCGCAAAACAAAAUUGAGUGGGUCAAUAAAACCAAAGUUUUUCAAAAACAUUUCAUUUAAAACAUUUCUAACCCCUCGCUGUAAAACCUGUAUACUUUCCCAGAAAAUAACAUAAUAUGCAUAUAAUCUUCAUAUAUCUCAAAUCACAAUUCUUUAUUAAAACCCAGAAAAUAUGUCAUGCCAUAAAUGUCAAUAACAGAUUAAGAAUGCAUCAAUAUAAGGUGACAUAAUGAAUCAACCGGAGACCCUGCAGUUGGUCCUGUACGGUUAAUUCCAUAGCUCAAUAUCCCAACCAACCGGAGUCACCACGGUGACUUGUACGGCACUACUCUGCACAUAAGUCGGAACUACCUGAAGUAGUCUGUACGACAAGAAUGGUGUAAUAAUACGCUCUAGUGCUUCUCUCAUCAAUCAUCUGUGCACAUAAUCUACGGUCACCUACCAGUCGGAACCACCUCUAGUGAUAUGUACAACUAGCAUGUCAGAACCUUCUCAUGGUUUGUACGACAUGCACCUACUUAGAUCCAAGGUGAGCGUGCGGUGCGGUGAAUAUUAUAAGCACUAACACCAGGGGUGCAGGUUAUGAGCUCUUAACACAAUUCACAUUACAAUAAAUCAUAUGAACAAUCUAAACUUACCUGAUACUCACAUGUGCGUCCACAGCACCAUUUCACAUAUAUAUGCAUCAAUUACUAAUUCAUAUAAUUCAUAAUAUGCAUGCAUGGCAUUAGAAAAACAUACUUUUAUUUAAAUUCAAUUUUUGGGAAAUUCAGUAAUAUAUAGGUAAUAACAGAAAAUAACUGCCCACUCACUGAUAAGUCGAAGGGUUGUAACCCCCGUGACGUCCCUGGAUGCGCUCAUCCUCGGGAUAGGUAUCACCUCUUUGGAGCCUCAAAACCUUCGAAAAUCACGUCGGGAAACUUCACCAAAACCGGCCACCUUCGAACUAGGGUGUCCCGAUGUCCAAAACUUCCAAACGAACGUCCCCGAGCUUCGUGGGAACUUCCUAGAGCUCACUAUGAGCUUGGAUUGUCCUGAAAAUGGUACCUUUGAGUUUGUGGGGCACUCACGAACACAAUGGUGCUAAUCUCCACUUCGAUCCAUGAAGUUUUGAUGGUCCUUGGGUGUGGUCCGUACAAUUUCGAAGGAAGAGAGAGAAGAGUGACAGAGAAGGAAGAGAGAGAGAGAGGGCACGAGGAAGGAGAAAGUGUCCCGUGUGUGUGGUCCAUCCCAAAACGAUCACCAUCAAUUUUUCUUAAGUCCCUAACCAUACAAAACACAUACAACCUUUAAUCAAAAUUCAAACUUUCCAAAACUUAGGGAAAUAUGCAUUGUUCAAUAAUAUGUCACACACCUACCUUAGCAAUAGUCAAGGAUAAUUUCGUCAUUUCACAACCUCGAUAAAAAGAAUCACGGGAUGGGCUGUAACAAGGAGUGUAGCUGUAAAAAAUCAACAAAAUCGGAGUUAAAAUAACCAUUAAAUCGUGAUUUUUUUAUUUAUAACCGUCAAAAAGUUUUAUCUCCUUACUUGAUCUCUGAAUGUUUGUUUUUUUGCAAUUUUUGACAUAUGCAAUCUCGAAGCAUAUAUAAACAAGUUUGACAGUUGGAUCAUUGAAAUUAGUUUCGUAGAAUGCGUAUCCUUUCAAAAUGAUAGAUUUACUAACACUUAGAGUUUAUUUAUAUUUUCAUUAAGUAUAACAUAAGAAUUUAUCGUAUCCACUAGGAUAAAUAUUUUAAAUUUAAGAUCGAGCUCAUUCAUUGUAUUCAUAUAGGGUCAUGGAGUGUAGCUGUAAAAAAAUCAUCAAAAUCAGAGUUAAAAUCACCGUUAAAUCAUGAUUUUUCGUUUAUAACCGUUGAAAAGUUUUGUCCUGUUACUUGAUCUCUGAAUGUUUUUUUUUGCGAUUUUUGGCGUAUGCAAUCUCGAAGCAUAUAUAAACAAUUUUGAUGGUUGGAUCGUUGAAAUUAGUUUCGUAGAAUGCGUAUCCCAUCAAAACGAUAGAUUCAUUAGCACUUAAGAGUUUAUUUGUACUUUCAUUAAGAAUAACAUAAGAUUUGUGUGGUAUCCACUAAUAUAAAUAUUUUAAAUUGAAGAUCGAAUUCAUUCAUUGUAUUCAUAUAGGGUCAAGGAGUGUAGCUGUAAAAAAUCAUCGAAAUUUGAGUUAAAAUAACCGUUAAAUCGUGAUUUUUUGUUUGUAACCAUCAAAAAGUUUUGUCCCAUUACUUGAUCUCUGAAUGUUUAUUUUUUGUGAUUUUUGGCGUAUGUGAUCUCAAAGCAUAUAUAAAAAAGUUUAACGGUUGGAUCAAUGAAAUUAGUUUUGUAGAAUGUGUAUCUCAUCAAAAUGAUAGAUUCACUAACUCUUAGAGUUUAUUUAUACUUUCAUUAAGUAAAACAUAAGAAUUUGUGGUAUCCACUAGUGUAAAUAUUUUAAAUUGAAGAUCGAGCUCAUUCAUUGUAUUCAUAUAGGGUCAAGGAGUGUAGCUGUAAAAAAUCAUCAAAAUCAGAGUUAAAAUCACCGUUAAAUCAUGAUUUUUCUUUUAUAACCGUUAAAAAGUUUUGUCCUGUUACUUGAUCUCUGAAUGUUUGCUUUUUUGCGAUUUUUGGCGUAUGCAAUCUCGAAGUAUAUAGAAACAAUUUUGAUGGUUGGAUCGUUGAAAUUAGUUUCGUAGAAUGCGUAUCCCAUCAAAACGAUAAAUUCAUUAACACUUAAGAGUUUAUUUAUACUUUCAUUAAGAAUAACAUAAGAUUUGUGUGGUAUCCAUUAAUGUAAAUGUUUUAAAUUGAAGAUCGAAUUCAUUCAUUGUAUGCAUAUAGGAUCAAUGAGUGUAGCUAUAAAAAAUAAUCAAAAUCAGAGUUAAAAUAACCGUUAAAUCGUGAUUUUUCGUUUUCUAACCGUCGAAAAGUUUUGUCUCGUUAAUUGAUCUCUGAAUGUUUGUUUUUUUGCGAUUUUUUGCUGGUGUGAUCUCGAAGCAUAUACAAACAAGUUUGACUGUUGGAUCGUUGAAAUUAGUUUCGUAGAAUUCGUAUCCCAUUAAGUUCAAUGGUGUGUGUAUAUAUAUAUUUAUUAAGUAGAUUUAAAUUUAUUUAUUUUGUAUGUAUAACACUUAAUUGAAUGGUAUGUAUAUUUAAGCUGAUCCAGUGGUCACCAAUUUUU